Molecule: ribosomal RNA, 264 nt
Filed under: uncultured archaeon
Lineage: Archaea
Description: partial 16S ribosomal RNA
Rfam family: Archaeal small subunit ribosomal RNA
Source: RNAcentral
AGACGUCUACAUUAGAUACCCCGGUAGUCCCAGCCGUAAACUAUGCGCGUUAGGUGUAUCGGUGACCACGAGUCACCGAGGUGCCGAAGGGAAACCGUGAAACGUGCCGCCUGGGAAGUACGGUCGCAAGGCUGAAACUUAAAGGAAUUGGCGGGGAGCACCACAACGGGUGGAGCCUGCGGUUUAAUUGGAUUCAACGCCGGACAUCUCACCGGAUAAGACAGCUGAAUGAUUGUCAAUCUGAAGGUUUUACAUGACUAGCUG